AGAGUUUGAUCCUGGCUCAGGAUGAACGCUAGCGGCAGGCCUAAUACAUGCAAGUCGAGGGGUAACAGGUGUAGCAAUACAUGCUGACGACCGGCGCACGGGUGCGUAACACGUAUAUAAUCUACCUUUUACUGGAGAAUAGCCCGAAGAAAUUCGGAUUAAUACUCCAUAAUAAUAUUGAGGGGCAUCUCUUGAUAUUUAAAGUUCAGACGGUAAAAGAUGAGUAUGCGCGAUAUUAGCUAGUUGGUGAGGUAACGGCUCACCAAGGCGACGAUAUCUAGGGGUACUGAGAGGUUACACCCCCACACUGGUACUGAGACACGGACCAGACUCCUACGGGAGGCAGCAGUAAGGAAUAUUGGACAAUGGUCGCAAGACUGAUCCAGCCAUGCCGCGUGCAGGAUGACUGCCCUAUGGGUUGUAAACUGCUUUUAUACGGGAAUAAACCCGGGUACGUGUACCCGGCUGAAUGUACUGUAAGAAUAAGGGUCGGCUAACUUCGUGCCAGCAGCCGCGGUAAGACGAAGGACCCAAGCGUUAUCCGGAUUCAUUGGGUUUAAAGGGUGCGUAGGCGGGUUGAUAAGUCAGUGGUGAAAGCCCAACGCUUAACGUUGGAACUGCCAUUGAUACUGUCGAUCUUGAAUGUGUUUGAUGUGGGCGGAAUAUGACAUGUAGCGGUGAAAUGCUUAGAUAUGUCAUAGAACACCGAUUGCGAAGGCAGCUCACAAAGCCACUAUUGACGCUGAGGCACGAAAGCGUGGGGAUCAAACAGGAUUAGAUACCCUGGUAGUCCACGCCGUAAACUUUGAUCACUCGCUGUUGGCGAUACACUGUCAGCGGCUAAGCGAAAGCGUUAAGUGAUCCACCUGGGGAGUACGGUCGCAAGACUGAAACUCAAAGGAAUUGACGGGGGCCCGCACAAGCGGUGGAGCAUGUGGUUUAAUUCGAUGAUACGCGAGGAACCUUACCAGGGCUUGAAAGUUAGCGACUUACCGUGAAAGCGGUGAUCCCUUCGGGGCGCGAAACUAGGUGCUGCAUGGCUGUCGUCAGCUCGUGCCGUGAGGUGUUGGGUUAAGUCCCGCAACGAGCGCAACCCCUACUUCUAGUUGCCAACAGGUAAUGCUGGGGACUCUAGAGGAACUGCCCGCGCAAGCGGUGAGGAAGGUGGGGACGACGUCAAGUCAUCACGGCCCUUACGUCCUGGGCUACACACGUGCUACAAUGGCGGAGACAACGGGCAGCUACACUGCGAAGUGAUGCUAAUCUCUAAACUCCGUCUCAGUUCGGAUUGAAGUCUGCAACUCGACUUCAUGAAGCUGGAAUCGCUAGUAAUCGCGUAUCAGCAAUGACGCGGUGAAUACGUUCCCGGGCCUUGUACGCACCGCCCGUCAAACAAUGGAAGCUGGGAGCACCUAAAGUCAGUAGUCGCAAGACGCUGCCUAGGGUAAAACCGGUAACUGGUGUUAAGUCGAAACAAGGUAGCCGUACCGGAAGGUGCGGCUG
This 1503-nucleotide ribosomal RNA is filed under the name metagenome. Its description in RNAcentral is "bacterial SSU rRNA". It matches the Rfam family "Bacterial small subunit ribosomal RNA". The record is from RNAcentral.